AGUAUGUCAGUUUUGUUUAUUGCUGCAUGUCUGGAGAAUAGAGUGGUGCUUGGCACUUAGUUGGCCUUCAGGAAAUAUUUGGUGAAUGAAUGAACAAGUGAAUAUCUAAUGAUAAUCUGGUAAGUGGCAGAACCAGGAUAAAAGCAAACCCAGGUUUUCAGCAGCCCACGCUUACAUGUUAUUUCUACUACAUUUCAUAACCUCUUAUAUCAAAGUCAUCAGGUUGUACACACCAUGGCAUCGAAUUCCCCAAUUAUUGCAAAGUCUUUUCUGACUGUAACAAACCCAGGCCUCCAGCUGUGAGAGAAUUGCUACUAGCUUCUAGCUUUUAUGUUGAAGGUACAGUCACAUCAUUUAGGUGAAUUUUAUUCUUGGCAAGCAGGGAACUUUUGACCUCUUUGAAAUCUAUGAGUUUGUAGCCCAGAUUAGACAGUGCUGGAAACACAGCGAAGACACCAGUCUCUCCGUUGACACUUUCAGUGCUGUAAUUCUUGAACACUUAGGAUUGGAGCUGAUCAGUGAUUGGGAAGUAACACCUUGUAAUUCUCUCCCCUUCUUUUAUUUAUUAAGAGGGAUGCUUUAAGACUGUCCGACAUCCGUUGAACAGUUACACCCUUAAUUUAAUAUUUGUCUUGAGACUUCUUGACUCUCAGUUCCUCUCCAUUUGAUCAUCUUUUAAGGACUACUAAGUGUCUUCAUGGAAGAGUAGCUAGCUUCUCCCAAAACAAGCUGUCCAAAUGACAAAGACAGAAAGUGCUAUUUGUUUUAUGGCCUCGGAAGUCACACAGCAUCAUUUCUGCUGUAUUAUAAUGGUAACACAUGCUGCUUUUGAUUUAAUGUUGGAGAGUCUGAAUACUAGGUGAUAUGGUUCAACUCUGAGCCCUCACCCAAAUCUCAUCUCAAAUUGUAAUCUCUAUGUGUCAAGGGAGGGACCUGUAAUCUCUAUGUAUAGAGGCACGGAAGUGAUUGUGUGUCCGGAAUUGGUGGGUUCUUGGUCUCACUGACUUCAAGAAUGAAGCCGCGGACCCUCGCGGUCAGUGUUACAGCUCUUAAGGUGGCGCGUCUGGAAUCUGUUCCUUCUGAUGUUCGGAUGUGUUCAGAGUUUCUUCCUUCUGGUGGGUUCCUCGUCUUGCUGGCUCAGAAGUGAAGCUGCAGACCUUCGCAGUGAGUGUUAACAGCUCUUAAGGCGGCGUGUCUGGAGUUGUUCAUCCCUCCUGGUGGGCUCGUGGUCUCGCUGGCUUCAAGAGUGAAGCUGCAGACCUUGGAGGUGAGUGUUACAGCUCAUAAAAGCAGUGUGGACCCGAACAGUGAGCAGUAGCAAGAUUUAUUGCAAAGAGCGAAAGAACAAACCUUCCACAGCGUGGAAACGGACCCCAGCGGGUUGC
Molecule: long non-coding RNA, 1385 nt
Filed under: Homo sapiens (human)
Lineage: Eukaryota; Metazoa; Chordata; Mammalia; Primates; Hominidae
Description: HSALNT0173126
Source: RNAcentral